Molecule: long non-coding RNA, 750 nt
Filed under: Oryza sativa Indica Group (long-grained rice)
Lineage: Eukaryota; Viridiplantae; Streptophyta; Magnoliopsida; Poales; Poaceae
Description: lncRNA OsZS97_06G025030
Source: RNAcentral
AUGGCGGCGUCAAGAACACGAGGCAGCACGGCGCGAUGUGAGAGCGAGGUGAUGGGGUUCACUGACAUGCCCUUGGAGUAUCUGGAUGAGCACAAGCCGUGUGGCCUCGGCGGCGACGGCGACGAGCUGCAGCAUGACGCCGAACGCGUCGAACCGCGCCUCACCGUAGGCGGCAACGGCGACGCCCGCGGAGAUGCCGAGCUGAGCAUGUUGAGCAUGGAGGCGCUGCGGAAGGAGUCGCGGAAGGCGGGCGAACGUUGCAGCGAGCGGGCGGGCGGCGGAGCAGAGCGGCGGCGGCAGGCAAGCGUACGGCCAGCGGAGCGGAACGGCGGCGAGCGAGCGGCCAGGGGAGUGGAGCGGAGCGGCGACAGCAUCCGCGGCGGCACCGGCGCAGCUGGAGGAGGAAGAGGAGCAACCUCAUUCAUCACUCCAUUGAACCACUCAAACGACAACGGCUCCCGGGUAAUCCAGGAAAAUUGUGCGCGGCUUGUUCUGUAUGCCUUCUUCUUGUUGUUACUUCUUGUUGACACACUUAAGCUGUUGGCGACAACCGACGGCACCCGGCAAGAAAGGAAGGAGCGGCGGGAGGUGGCCGGCGAUCGAGGAGGGAGCCGCGGCAUUCCUCGGCGGUGGAGGAGGUGGCGGCUAUGGCGGAAGGCGGUUGGCAAGGCGGAGGAGGUGCAGCCGGCAGCCACCGCCCCUGUGGAGGAAGAAGAAGAAGAUGAAGACUCAGACCGCCACGUCACCGGC